GAUCAAACUCAGGAUGCAUACAAGCACUCUACCACUGAGAUACACCCCCUCGCCUGACCCAGAUGCCUUACUCAGGUCACCAGAUACCAAAAGAAGACACAGCUAAAAAUGGAACAAUCAACUAAAUGAUAAGCUCUGUAAGGACAGAGGGACCAAACUUACCUAGCUGAGCUACAGGACUGAGCUAUAUUCAUGUUAAAGUUAUGUACCAGAAAAGUUCAAAAAGCCAUGAAAGAAUUUCUUGUUUUAGUGAAGGUAACACAGUGUUAUAACUCAUGAACCCUGACAUUCCACACAAUGGAGGCUUCUUUCUCCCGCCCAGAGCAGUUCAUUGCUAAAGUUCUUCCUCCCUCAGGUGACUCAGGCUCUGGCAAUUCCUCCAUCACUGGGCUCUGCCAUCUCCUAAGACCUGGUUAUCCUUUGCUGCCACUCAGUAAAGAGUCUGCUUGGAGAAGGCACCCACAUUUCUUUAGCCCUGCCUGAAAGAAGGAUGCAAUUACUUCCACUCAGUGUAUUUCUGUACUUCAAGCUGAGCUGUGGAUCAGAGGUAGCCUGUGUGAUUGGCAUGCAUUGAGGUCCUGGGUUCAAUUCCCAGAAUCAAAUUUACUAAUAAGUAAAUGAACAGCACUAAAAAUGCAUCGCAUAAAAUAAUAUGAAUAAUAGGGGCACAGAAGAUGUGUAAUUACUUAUUGUACCGGAGGCAGUGAUCAGAAAAAUCCCUUAAGGAUGGAUGGAGCUGGGCACAGGGGGCAGAAGGGAGGAGUGCCAGACAAUGGAAACCCAUCACACCCCUCAUUAAGGGGCAGGCGCAGACAGGGGCAAGGCGACCCA
Long non-coding RNA from Fukomys damarensis (Damara mole-rat), 831 nucleotides. RefSeq lists it as uncharacterized. The transcript has 3 exons. NCBI's taxonomy places the organism in Eukaryota, Metazoa, Chordata, Mammalia, Rodentia, Bathyergidae. The record is from RefSeq and is a predicted model, not a curated record.